This 962-nucleotide ribosomal RNA is filed under the name Providencia alcalifaciens. RNAcentral's name for it is "partial 23S ribosomal RNA". It matches the Rfam family "Bacterial large subunit ribosomal RNA", at positions 762 to 1722 of the family's 2925-position model. Lineage: Bacteria; Pseudomonadati; Pseudomonadota; Gammaproteobacteria; Enterobacterales; Morganellaceae. The record is from RNAcentral.
CUAACUGGAGGACCGAACCGACUAAUGUUGAAAAAUUAGCGGAUGACUUGUGGCUGGGGGUGAAAGGCCAAUCAAACCGGGAGAUAGCUGGUUCUCCCCGAAAGCUAUUUAGGUAGCGCCUCGUGAAUUCAUCUUCGGGGGUAGAGCACUGUUUCGACUAGGGGGUCAUCCCGACUUACCAACUCGAUGCAAACUACGAAUACCGAAGAAUGUUAUCACGGGAGACACACGGCGGGUGCUAACGUUCGUCGUGAAGAGGGAAACAACCCAGACCGCCAGCUAAGGUCCCAAAGUCAUAGUUAAGUGGGAAACGAAGUGGGAAGGCUCAGACAGCCAGGAUGUUGGCUUAGAAGCAGCCAUCAUUUAAAGAAAGCGUAAUAGCUCACUGGUCGAGUCGGCCUGCGCGGAAGAUGUAACGGGGCUAAACUAUGCACCGAAGCUGCGGCAGCGAUAUGUAAAUAUUGUUGGGUAGGGGAGCGUUCUGUAAGCCUGUGAAGGUGUACUGUGAGGUAUGCUGGAGGUAUCAGAAGUGCGAAUGCUGACAUAAGUAACGAUAAUGCGGGUGAAAAACCCGCACGCCGGAAGACCAAGGGUUCCUGUCCAACGUUAAUCGGGGCAGGGUGAGUCGACCCCUAAGGCGAGGCAGAAAUGCGUAGUCGAUGGGCAACGGGUUAAUAUUCCCGUACUGGUGAUAAUUGCGAUGGGGGGACGGAGAAGGUUAGGCUGGCCGGGCGACGGUUGUCCCGGUUUAAGGAUGUAGGCAGGUGAAUUAGGCAAAUCCGGUUCACUAUAUGCUGAGGUCUGAUGACGAGUCACUACGGUGGCGAAGUAGCUGAUACCCUGCUUCCAGGAAAAGCCUCUAAGCUCUAGAUUAUCAUUAAUCGUACCCCAAACCGACACAGGUGGUCAGGUAGAGAAUACUCAGGCGCUUGAGAGAACUCGGGUGAAGGAACUAGGCAAAA